ACGAGAGGAGGAUCUUCCAGUUGCAGAGGUUCUCGCCCCAGAAGUCAAAUCCGGAAGCGAUCGAGGCCGACCUUGAAGCCGACUGCUUGAAUGUCUUCCUGCACCCUCGCCUUGAAGUCUCUGUAAGUGAACUCUCUGUAUCUGGAACUCCGAAUGGGGCGAUCUUCGGGGGGGAAGACGAAGAAGCAGAUGGAGAUCCUCUCCUCGCCAUUGCUGGCCUGGACUCUGUGCUUGGCGCUCUUGUACUCGUCGUCGCUGAUGGCCUGUAAAUUCGGAAUUAGGGUUAUUCUUCCGAUUCCCUUCCCCUCCCACCAAAUCGGACUGAGCUGGUUCGAUGAUUAUACCUGCAUCAUGUCGCCGAGGUUGACGAGGAGCGAGCCCGGGAGGGGAUCGACGGCGAACCAAGCUCCGCCGUGGAGGAUCUGAAGGCCCCCCACAUUGCCGUCGCUCACCAGAGUGAGGAGGGAGCUGUCGGUGUGGGCGGCCAUGCCGAGGCGGCCGCCGGCGAGAGGGGAGAAGGGGUAACGGUGGAGCCGGAGAAGCUCGCCGGCGCCGGAGAAGAAGGAGGAGGCCCUCUGUUCUCCGGCGAGGCCCAGGUCCCCCGCUAGCGUUUCGAACAGCUCCCUCGCUACGGCCGAUGACUGCUUCCCGAAUUCCUCCGCCAAGCCCCUUUUUGAGAGAUCAGAGGAAGAAGAAGAAGAAGAGAGGAGCGUGCCCUAGAAAAUCGAAACGGAAGUUGCAAUUACCUGAAGUAGGAAGAGUCGGCGGCGGCGGCGGCGGUGGACGGAAGGUCGCCGCCGAGGGGCAUGUUGAGGCCCUCAACCCAGUUGACUUCCCGGGGGGAGAGGUUGACCGCGGGGGUUCCAAAGAAGUAGGAAACAGGGCCGCCGGCGAAUGUGGUCUGCUUGAGCUCGAAGGGGAGGCAGAGGAGCCGCUUUGCCUCGUCGUGGAGGCGGCGGGAGAGAGAAGGGGGGAUCCCGUGGUUGACCAGCCGGAAGACCCCCCACUCCCUGCAGAUCUCCCCCAGCGCCGCCGGCCGCAUGUCCCGGAAGUCCACCACCGGCAGGUCAAUCGAAGGAAGGACGGCGCAGCCGCCGCCCACGGCGGCGGCGCUGAGGCCUCCGAGGUUGCGGAACACCGGUGGGUAUGAAGAUGACUCCUCUCCCUCCAUCGCGUUGCCGUUCCAGUGAACUUGUUCUCUCUCCCUUUCUCUCUCCUCUUACUCCCACGGCGGCGGCGGUGGCGGCGAUGGAGGUCACGGGUUUCCCGACCUCCCACUGGUGGCAGCACGAGCGCCGCCUAGACCUCAGCGAGGGGGGAUGUUUCUGCUAAGUUGCUAACGUGAAGAUUAAAGAAAAAUCUUCCAGAAGCCAAGGCUAAAUUUUCAUUUUCUUACUUAUUUUUUAGUAAAUAACCAUUUUCGUAAAUAAUAGGGUCGAUAAAUCCGGCUAAUUAAUGACGUGGCUUAAAUAAUCAUUUUUGGCAGAGUGGAGGCGGCGGAACGGGACAGGCCCGGCAACCUUGACUCAUGCGGUGAACUUACCUCCCCUUGAACAUAUCUCUUCUCUCUCGCUCUCUCUGAGGUCCCCGAGCUGUUACGGUC
Molecule: long non-coding RNA, 1603 nt
Filed under: Spirodela polyrhiza (greater duckweed)
Lineage: Eukaryota; Viridiplantae; Streptophyta; Magnoliopsida; Alismatales; Araceae
Description: long non-coding RNA (SPOL_LNC000186)
Source: RNAcentral